AACGAACGCUGGCGGCAGGCCUAAAACAUGCAAGUCGAGCGAACCUUCGGGUUAGUGGCGCACGGGUGCGUAACGCGUGGGAAUAUACCUCUGGGUGCGGAACAACGUUUGGAAACGAACGCUAAUACCGCAUAAUAUCUACGGAUCAAAGAUUUAUCGCCCAGAGAUUAGCCCGCGUCUGAUUAGCUAGUUGGUGAGGUAAUGGCUCACCAAGGCGACGAUCAGUAGCUGGUCUGAGAGGAUGAUCAGCCACACUGGAACUGAGACACGGUCCAGACUCCUACGGGAGGCAGCAGUUAGGAAUAUUGGACAAUGGGGGAAACCCUGAUCCAGCCAUGCCGCGUGUGUGAAGAAGGCCUUAGGGUUGUAAAGCACUUUCAGCCGUGAAGAUAAUGACAGUAGCGGAAGAAGAAGCUCCGGCUAAAUUCGUGCCAGCAGCCGCCGUAA
This 447-nucleotide ribosomal RNA is filed under the name uncultured bacterium. Its description in RNAcentral is "partial 16S ribosomal RNA". It matches the Rfam family "Bacterial small subunit ribosomal RNA", at positions 29 to 523 of the family's 1533-position model. The record is from RNAcentral.